AAUAUACUACCUCCGUUCUAAAAUUCUUGUCCUAGAUUUGUUUAGAUGUGAAUGUAUCUAGUCAAGUUUUAGUAUUUAGAUACAUUCAUUUCUAGACAAAGCUAAGACAAGACUUUUGGGACGGAGAGAGUAUCAA
Molecule: non-coding RNA, 136 nt
Organism: Hordeum vulgare subsp. vulgare (domesticated barley)
Lineage: Eukaryota; Viridiplantae; Streptophyta; Magnoliopsida; Poales; Poaceae
Source: Rfam